CGGACUCUUCGGAGGGAGUGAGGGAUGAGCGGCGGACGGGUGAGUACACGUAAGGAACCUGCCCCAAGGAUUGGGAUAACUCCGAGAAAUCGGAGCUAAUACCGAAUAGUUCUUCAGACCGCAUGGUCUGAUGAUGAAAGGCGCUCCGGCGUCACCUUGGGAUGGCCUUGCGGUGCAUUAGCUAGUUGGUGGGGUAAUGGCCCACCAAGGCGACGAUGCAUAGCCGACCUGAGAGGGUGAUCGGCCACACUGGGACUGAGACACGGCCCAGACUCCUACGGGAGGCAGCAGUAGGGAAUCUUCCACAAUGGACGAAAGUCUGAUGGAGCAACGCCGCGUGAGUGAUGAAGGUUUUCGGAUCGUAAAACUCUGUUGUAAGGGAAGAACAAGUACGAGAGGUAAUGCUCGUACCUUGACGGUACCUUGCGAGAAAGCCACGU
RNAcentral lists this ribosomal RNA (440 nucleotides) under Exiguobacterium artemiae. Its description in RNAcentral is "bacterial SSU rRNA". It matches the Rfam family "Bacterial small subunit ribosomal RNA", at positions 69 to 496 of the family's 1533-position model. The record is from RNAcentral. Lineage: Bacteria; Bacillati; Bacillota; Bacilli; Caryophanales.